Molecule: ribosomal RNA, 256 nt
Filed under: uncultured bacterium
Lineage: Bacteria
Description: partial 16S ribosomal RNA
Rfam family: Bacterial small subunit ribosomal RNA
Source: RNAcentral
GUCCACGCCCUAAACGAUGAUUACUCGAUGUUAGCGAUAUACAGUUAGCGUCAAAGCGAAAGCGUUAAGUAAUCCACCUGGGGAGUACGCCGGCAACGGUGAAACUCAAAGGAAUUGACGGGGCCCGCACAAGCGGAGGAGCAUGUGGUUUAAUUCGAUGAUACGCGAGGAACCUUACCCGGGCUUGAAAGUAGUGAAUGAUCCAGAAAUGGAUCAGUCCGCAAGGACACGAAACUAGGUGCUGCAUGGCUGUCGU